Molecule: transfer RNA, 85 nt
Filed under: Gammaproteobacteria bacterium
Lineage: Bacteria; Pseudomonadati; Pseudomonadota; Gammaproteobacteria
Description: tRNA-Tyr
Rfam family: tRNA
About the family: Transfer RNA (tRNA) molecules are approximately 80 nucleotides in length.
Source: RNAcentral
GGAGGGGGACCCAAGCGGUCAACGGGGGCAGACUGUAAAUCUGCUGGCUAUGCCUUCGUAGGUUCGAAUCCUACCCCCUCCACCA